AACCAGACUCCUACGGGAGGCAGCAGUGGGGAAUAUUGCACAAUGGGGGAAACCCUGAUGCAGCGACGCCGCGUGAAGGAUGAAGUAUUUCGGUAUGUAAACUUCUAUCAGCAGGGAAGAAAAUGACGGUACCUGACUAAGAAGCCCCGGCUAACUACGUGCCAGCAGCCGCGGUAAUACGUAGGGGGCAAGCGUUAUCCGGAUUUACUGGGUGUAAAGGGAGCGUAGACGGCAUGGCAAGUCUGAUGUGAAAACCCGGGGCUCAACCCCGGGACUGCAUUGGAAACUGUCAGGCUAGAGGGUCGGAGAGGCAAGUGGAAUUCCUAGUGUAGCGGUGAAAUGCGUAGAUAUUAGGAGGAACACCAGUGGCGAAGGCGGCCUGCUGGACGAUGACUGACGUUGAGGCUCGAAAGCGUGGGGAGCAAACAGGAUUAGAUACCCCAGUA
Molecule: ribosomal RNA, 446 nt
Filed under: uncultured bacterium
Lineage: Bacteria
Description: partial 16S ribosomal RNA
Rfam family: Bacterial small subunit ribosomal RNA
Source: RNAcentral